CUAAGAAUAUUCCGCAAUGGGCGAAAGCCUGACGGAGCGACGCCGCGUGGAUGACGAAGGCCGAAAGGUUGUAAAAUCCUUUUGCGGGCGAAGAAGAAGGCCUGGAGGGAAUGCCAGGCCGGUGACGCCGGCCCGCGAAUAAGCCCCGGCUAAUUACGUGCCAGCAGCCGCGGUAACACGUAAGGGGCGAGCGUUGUUCGGAAUUAUUGGGCGUAAAGGGCGCGUAGGCGGCCGGCCAAGUCCGGCGUGAAAUACCGGGGCUCAACCCCGGGGCUGCGCUGGAAACUGGCAGGCUCGAGUCGCGGAGGGGAAGCCGGAAUUCCUGGUGUAGGGGUGAAAUCUGUAGAUAUCAGGAAGAACACCGAUGGCGAAGGCAGGCUUCCAGCCGGCGACUGACGCUGAGGCGCGAAAGUGCGGGGAGCAAACAGGAUUAGAUACCCUGGUAGUCCGCACUGUAAACGAUGCACACUAGGCGUCGGGGCGAGCGUCCCGGUGCCGAAGCCAACGCGGUAAGUGUGCCGCCU
Molecule: ribosomal RNA, 524 nt
Filed under: uncultured bacterium
Lineage: Bacteria
Description: bacterial SSU rRNA
Rfam family: Bacterial small subunit ribosomal RNA
Source: RNAcentral